This 464-nucleotide ribosomal RNA is filed under the name uncultured Klebsiella sp. RNAcentral describes it as "bacterial SSU rRNA". It matches the Rfam family "Bacterial small subunit ribosomal RNA", at positions 338 to 795 of the family's 1533-position model. The record is from RNAcentral. Lineage: Bacteria; Pseudomonadati; Pseudomonadota; Gammaproteobacteria; Enterobacterales; Enterobacteriaceae.
CCUACGGGGGGCUGCAGUGGGGAAUAUUGCACAAUGGGCGCAAGCCUGAUGCAGCCAUGCCGCGUGUGUGAAGAAGGCCUUCGGGUUGUAAAGCACUUUCAGCGGGGAGGAAGGCGUCAAGGUUAAUAACCUUGGCGAUUGACGUUACCCGCAGAAGAAGCACCGGCUAACUCCGUGCCAGCAGCCGCGGUAAUACGGAGGGUGCAAGCGUUAAUCGGAAUUACUGGGCGUAAAGCGCACGCAGGCGGUCUGUCAAGUCGGAUGUGAAAUCCCCGGGCUCAACCGGGGAACUGCAUUCGAAACUGGCAGGCUAGAGUCUUGUAGAGGGGGGGAGAAUUCCAGGUGUAGCGGUGAAAUGCGUAGAGAUCUGGAGGAAUACCGGGGGCGAAGGCGGCCCCCUGGACAAAGACUGACGCGCAGGUGCGAAAGCGUGGGGAGCAAACAGGAUUAGAUACCCGGUAGUC